RNAcentral lists this small RNA (601 nucleotides) under Pongo abelii (Sumatran orangutan). RNAcentral describes it as "retained intron". Lineage: Eukaryota; Metazoa; Chordata; Mammalia; Primates; Hominidae. The record is from RNAcentral.
AUCUCUUAAGACUUCACUUAAGCUUCACUGAUUUCUUGACUCUCCUCUUGAGUACAAGGACUCAGCCAACUAUGAAGUUUUUUGUCUUUGCUUUAAUCUUGGCUCUCAUGAUUUCCAUGACUAGAGCUGAUUCACAUGAAAAGGUAAGACAUUUUCAUUUACUGGAAAACUUGAUAAUUAAUCAUAUAUUGAAUUUUUAAUCUUUUCUUUUUAUUUCAUAGAGACAUCAUGGGUAUAGAAGAAAAUUCCAUGAAAAGCAUCAUUCACAUCGAGAAUUUCCAUUUUAUGGAGACUAUAGAUGAAAUUAUCUGUAUGACAAUUGAUAUCCUUAGUAAUCAUGGGGCAUGAUUAUAGAGGUAAGCUGACUCUAGUUACUUGUUUUUUCUAGAAGUGUCAACAUUGACAGUUUAAAAAAAAAAAAGCCAUAAGCUAACAACCAUUCCAGUUUAAGAAAUGUAGCAUGGGUUAGCUCCUUGAAGUGUAUCCAUUUAUAUAAAUGCUUCUGAAGCUGUAGAUGUGUGGUGUUAUUUCAGAGGUCUCUGUUCUGUUCCAUUGGUCUAUGUCUGCUUUGGUACCAGUACCAUGCUGUUUUGGUAACUGU